AAUUAAUUAAAAACUCUGGGGACCGAGUCAGACAGGUCGAGAUCAGAUACGUGUUGGUUCAGAUGGGAGCUGGUUGCUUUGCUGCUUUGUGUGCUUCGGUGCGCGUUGUGGUGAGGUUACUGGACUGUGACCCGGGUCGAUCGUAGGCGGUUUCAGUUGUUAGCGUCUUGCAGCUAGCAACGCGCGAAGACUUGAUCCACGUUGUGUCAAUCGGCUGUACUUCCAUGGUCUGGCGCGCGAUGGCUAAUUCAGAACUGGCACGGACCAAAGCAAUCCGACUGUCUAGUUAAAACAAAGCAUUGCGAUGUCCACUGAUUGAUUUCGACGCAGUGUGAUUUCUCCCCAGUGCUCUGAAUGUCAAAAUGAAGAAAUUCAACCAAGCGCGGGUAAACGGCGGGAGUAACUAUGACUCUCUUAAGGUAAUAUAGUGAAAUACAAAUACUUUCAUGGUAAUAUUCAUAGAGGUCAAGAAAUACGUCUAAGAUGUAACCAACCUUGUAAUAAUGACGUAUUCGAUUUAUCGGUAUAUAUAUAUAUAUAUAUA
RNAcentral lists this non-coding RNA (544 nucleotides) under Schistosoma margrebowiei. RNAcentral's name for it is "Eukaryotic large subunit ribosomal RNA". It matches the Rfam family "Eukaryotic large subunit ribosomal RNA", at positions 1939 to 2319 of the family's 3401-position model. Lineage: Eukaryota; Metazoa; Platyhelminthes; Trematoda; Strigeidida; Schistosomatidae. The record is from Rfam by way of RNAcentral.